GAUGAACGCUAGCUACAGGCUUAACACAUGCAAGUCGAGGGGAAACGACAUCGAAAGCUUGCUUUUGAUGGGCGUCGACCGGCGCACGGGCGAGUAACGCGUAUCCAACCUGCCCACCACUUGGGGAUAACCUUUCGAAAGUAAGACUAAAACCCAAUGACGUCUCUAGAAGACAUCUGAAAGAGGAGAAAGAUGUAUCGGUGAUGGAUGGGGAUGCGGCUGAUUAGCUUGUGGGCGGGGUAACGGCCCACCAAGGCGAAGAUCAGUAGGGGUUCUGAGAGGAAGGUCCCCCACAUUGGAACUGAGACACGGUCCAAACUCCUACGGGAGGCAGCAGUGAGGAAUAUUGGUCAAUGGGCGAGAGCCUGAACCAGCCAAGUAGCGUGCAGGAUGACGGCCCUAUGGGUUGUAAACUGCUUUUAUAAGGGAAUAAAGUGAGUCUCGUGAGACUUUUUGCAUGUACCUUAUGAAUAAGGACCGGCUAAUUCCGUGCCAGCCGCCGCCGUAA
Molecule: ribosomal RNA, 508 nt
Filed under: uncultured bacterium
Lineage: Bacteria
Description: partial 16S ribosomal RNA
Rfam family: Bacterial small subunit ribosomal RNA
Source: RNAcentral